Astatotilapia calliptera (eastern happy) is the source of this 3240-nucleotide long non-coding RNA. The record is from Ensembl. NCBI's taxonomy places the organism in Eukaryota, Metazoa, Chordata, Actinopteri, Cichliformes, Cichlidae.
ACCGGAUCAUCAUAAGUAAGGAUUACAGUGUAAGUGAUCACACCUUCAUGUAUCUUCAUGUAUUUCCAAGUACGGCAUCCUUUAGUAGAAAGAAAGACAGACAGACAAGAAAAAACUCAACUCUCAAUUCACUGUACAAAAUUUUCAUUUUUUUGUCUUUUCUUCCUUAAUGACAUACAACAGGGGACCCGUAAACAAAAAGAGAAAAGUCAUUUGAUACAAGCUAAAAUGCAGUUCAAAAAUAUAUAAUAAAACAAAAUUAAUAAAAAGCAGGUCUCUUAUCCCUUGUAGUUGGAGGAAAUUGUUUGAAUACAGCUUAAUAUGAUGUACAAAAUAUCACACAGUGAUAAAUUGCUAAUAAAAAAAUAAAAAACACAAAGAAAUGAGAGUUCUUUACCUUGGCCUCCGACUGGUAACAGAUUUUGUUUUUUUUAAAUCUUCUUUUCGUCUGUUUUUCGUGUUUUUUAAUCGUUUUGCUUUUUUACAAGUUUUACAUUGCCAUUAUCAAUCACAAGCAAGUUCUAUGCCUAGCAAGGAAGAAUGAUUCACUUAUGAUACUACAGUAUUCUUACAUCUUAAUAAUCAUAUUCAUAACCAAAGGAGAGAGAAAAAAAUGAAAGAAAACAAAGAAAUGAUGGACAUUUACAGCACAUAAUGGCAACUCUAACCAUCAUUUACAACCUCUGCUUCGAGUUCCUCUUGUUUUCCUCUUAUUGAUGAGUCACACUGAUUUGUCGUCAUUCUCAGACAGGGGACAUAGUAGCUCAGAGCGAGAAGAAAGUGUCAGUAACGCCCGCUGUCAUAUAACCGUGAACGGCAACAGUUCCACGUUUGUAGUAUUCGCUUCAGAUCGAAUACAUCGUUUCUGCACCCUGUCUAUCCUCUUGUAAUGUAAAGCAUUCACUUUUAGAUAUAGUGCAACAAGGGGUCAAAUAGUUAAUACGUGAUAAUAGGACGUCAUGCCCAGCAGCAGUAUAAUAAUGUAGUUGCCCCGUGUUGUUGUCUUUGACAGACUUGUGUCAAAGGAACAGCAGUGUGACAUCUUGUCUAAUUUCACACAACAGUCUUCCACUCUGUUUGGAGAGAAAAAAAAAAUCUCUCACUACAUAUAUAUAUAAAUGAACUAUGAAUGCUAGUGUCACCAGUGAUUAAAAGUGUUUAGCUCCAGCCAACUUUAACUCUUUCCCCCAUAAAGACAACAUCUGAUGACCUCCCCUGUAUUCUUAAUAAGAAGCUUUGCCGCCUCAGUACAUAUGGAUGCAGGUGUGGUUUGAUGACCUUUAGAAUAGUUCUGGGUUUUUCCAAGGGUAGCUGAAUAGGCAGAGACCACCCUCAUAAACUUCUGAUGCAAACUCAGUCAUUUUGUUCUAUAAGCAGGCCGCUCAGUCAGGAAAGCGCUUCAAGGGUUACCUCUAGUAGGCUUUCAAGGGGUAAAGAGUUAAGCUGUCAUCUGACCACCAGUGUGACACACAGUGUGUAAUCUUGAAGAGCUGACGCCUAACCGAGUGCAGAUUUUAGAGGUUUUCUAAAGGUAAUGAAAAAAUAAUCUGGGACGAGGUCAGCUGUGAAGAGGCAACUUAAAGCAAACAAACUGUCCUGUAGUCAACAGCACAAAUGCAGGACAUCAACAAACAUGGGUCUCAAAAUAAUGAUGCUUCCAGCUGAGCCAAAAGUUGACAGUUUACCUCCUAAACUGAGUCAGACGUCUUAAAUCAACACUUUUUUUGUAUGGCUGAAUUUAAAAUGGAGUAUUUGUUUAUUUUUUUUAAACCCGUCCAGCAUCCCUCUUCAGGAAGAGGACACACGCUUCACUAGAUUAGUUCUGCGGCUAAUGUGCUCCCUGUGUUCAUCAUUCAAGAAGAAGAAAUCCUCACCUCAUCACUCGAGUAAAGGUGAUGUCAGCCUUUUGUGAAAGCCCGAAUAAAUAAAAACAAUCACGAGACGCGAGCAGCCUGCAAAAAAAAACUGGCACCGACUUCAAAGAGACAAUCUCUCAUCCGAGCUCCUCCACUGUAAAAUAAUUACCAGCUCGAUGCACUGCUCGAGCCGGAGACACUCAAAGCCGACCAUAUGCACAUCCCUCUAAUGAAAAACAUAACUAGGAUGGACUGUCAAUUCUGAAAUUUGACCACAAUUAAUGAAAUGAUCCAACAGCGAAAUGUCACACGAAUGAUGAUUUUACUGAACGUACACGUGUGGACCAGUGAGAGAGAAACACUCACAAAACAUGUCCCUGAUUCUGACUCAAGACUGAUGAAGUCUUUCAUAGCACCGUGGUUGAACUAGUGCAUAUACAAACAUACACACACACUCACAUACACUCCUCUGUACAGUAAAAAGCACCAGACCAGCCUCGCACCUCUCUAGUCUACAGACUUUAACUAUGCUCAGUCAUAUCCAUCCUAAGCUGGUUCAUGCGGUGUGAGAGACUCUAUACGCACUGUACAUCUGUAGAAAUAAGUUUGUGAGAGUUAUCUAAGUGACAUCUAAUCUCACGCACACACACACACACACACAUACGUAGAGGCAGAAUCAUGGGGACGCUAUAGCAAUCAGACAUACAAUGAAACUAGGUUGUUCAAUCAACACUAUUCAGCUUUCUAGUGCCUCCUCACAGCACACACGACUAACUCAAACAUCCUCCAACACCACACACACAUCCUCCUCACCGAGUCUUUGGAAUGCAACACAUUGAUUCCCAAUGCAGAGGUUAGGUCAGGUGUUUUCCGUCAAUGCCGAGAACUGUUAUUCCUUUAAGUCAAGCCUACGUAUGUGUGUUAGCCACAAGCAAUGUUUCAACUGUUAAAAAAAAAAAGAAACAAUUUAAAAUCAAGUGUUUUCCCCUCGGCUCUCAGUGAAAUGCAAGCAUUGUGCAAGCACUUGAAGCGCACAAGCGUACACACAUAGUACUUUGUGAAAAGGAAAGGAAAAAAAAGAACAGAAUAUUGUAGUGUAGAAAAGUGUUACUCCAAAUAUGAUUACUUGAAAACAGAGCAGCCAGAGUUUGAAAGUUAUAAAAAAGCAUUACAAGAUGUGAUUAGUAUUACAAGAAGUCACUGAGGCAUUAGAGAACUGUGAGGAGUUUUCGGAGCGGAGGGGGAGGAAGUUGAUGGUUGACGUCCUGUGGCGAUGACCCAGCCAGUGGGGUGCAGGACUAAUUGUGUGUGUGUAUGUAUGAGCAGGUGAAAUGUAUCCACUGUAGUCUUCAGUCUUUUUUGGCCCAGUUAUUGAUGUAGGACU